GUAGGUGGCAAGCGUUGUCCGGAAUUAUUGGGCGUAAAGCGCGCGCAGGCGGUCCUUUAAGUCUGAUGUGAAAGCCCACGGCUCAACCGUGGAGGGUCAUUGGAAACUGGGGGACUUGAGUACAGAAGAGGAAAGCGGAAUUCCAAGUGUAGCGGUGAAAUGCGUAGAGAUUUGGAGGAACACCAGUGGCGAAGGCGGCUUUCUGGUCUGUAACUGACGCUGAGGCGCGAAAGCGUGGGGAGCAAACAGGAUUAGAUACCCUGGUAGUCCACGCGUAAACGAUGAGUGCUAAGUGUUAGGGGGUUUCCCGCCCCCCUUAGUGCUGCAGCUAACGCAUUAAGCACUCCGCCUGGGGAGUACGCCGCAAGGCUG
Molecule: ribosomal RNA, 372 nt
Filed under: uncultured organism
Description: partial 16S ribosomal RNA
Rfam family: Bacterial small subunit ribosomal RNA
Source: RNAcentral